AGCGAACGCUGGCGGCAGGCUUAACACAUGCAAGUCGAGCGGGCACUUUCGGGUGUCAGCGGCGGACGGGUGAGUAACGCGUGGGAACGUGCCCUCUGGUUCGGAAUAACUCAGGGAAACUUGAGCUAAUACCGGAUACGCCCUUUUGGGGAAAGGCUUGCUGCCGGAGGAUCGGCCCGCGUCUGAUUAGCUAGUUGGUGAGGUAACGGCUCACCAAGGCGACGAUCAGUAGCUGGUCUGAGAGGAUGAUCAGCCACACUGGGACUGAGACACGGCCCAGACUCCUACGGGAGGCAGCAGUGGGGAAUAUUGGACAAUGGGCGCAAGCCUGAUCCAGCCAUGCCGCGUGAGUGAUCAAGGCCUUAGGGUUGUAAAGCUCUUUUAUCCGGGACGAUAAUGACGGUACCGGAGGAAUAGGCCCCGGCUAACUUCGUG
RNAcentral lists this ribosomal RNA (435 nucleotides) under uncultured bacterium. Its description in RNAcentral is "partial 16S ribosomal RNA". It matches the Rfam family "Bacterial small subunit ribosomal RNA", at positions 29 to 507 of the family's 1533-position model. The record is from RNAcentral.